GACGAACGCUGGCGGCGUGCCUAAUACAUGCAAGUAGAACGCACAGUUUAUACCGUAGCUUGCUACACCAUAGACUGUGAGUUGCGAACGGGUGAGUAACGCGUAGGUAACCUGCCUGGCAGCGGGGGAUAACUACUGGAAACGAUAGCUAAUACCGCAUAAUAUUAAUUAUUGCAUGAUAAUUAAUUGAAAGGUGCAAUUGCACCACUACCAGAUGGACCUGCGUUGUAUUAGCUAGUAGGUGAGGUAACGGCUCACCUAGGCGACGAUACAUAGCCGACCUGAGAGGGUGAUCGGUCACACUGGGACUGAGACACGGCCCAGACUCCUACGGGAGGCAGCAGUAGGGAAUCUUCGGCAAUGGACGAAAGUCUGACCGAGCAACGCCGCGUGAGUGAAGAAGGUUUUCGGAUCGUAAAGCUCUGUUGUAAGAGAAGAACGGGUGUGAGAGUGGAAAGUUCACACUGUGACGGUAUCUUACCAGAAAGGGACGGCUAACUACGUG
This 505-nucleotide ribosomal RNA is filed under the name uncultured bacterium. Its description in RNAcentral is "partial 16S ribosomal RNA". It matches the Rfam family "Bacterial small subunit ribosomal RNA", at positions 28 to 507 of the family's 1533-position model. The record is from RNAcentral.